RNAcentral lists this ribosomal RNA (514 nucleotides) under uncultured bacterium. RNAcentral's name for it is "partial 16S ribosomal RNA". It matches the Rfam family "Bacterial small subunit ribosomal RNA", at positions 29 to 523 of the family's 1533-position model. The record is from RNAcentral.
AACGAACGGUGGCGGCGUGGAUAAGACAUGCAAGUCGAACGGGAUCUUAAUUGUAGCAAUACAGUUGAGGUUCAGUGGCGCAAGGGUGCGUAACACGUGGGCAAUCUGCCCGGGAGCGCGGGAUAGCUCGGCGAAAGUCGAAUUAAUACCGCAUGUGGCUAUUGGAGGAUUCUCCGAGACGCUAAAGUUGGUGAAAGCUAACACUACUGGAUGAGCCCGCGGCCUAUCAGCUAGUUGGUGAGGUAAAGGCUCACCAAGGCUAUGACGGGUAGCUGGUCUGAGAGGACGACCAGCCACACUGGAACUGAGACACGGUCCAGACACCUACGGGUGGCAGCAGUCGAGAAUUUUUCUCAAUGGGGGAAACCCUGAAGGAGCGACGCCGCGUGGAGGAUGAAGGUUUUCGGAUUGUAAACUCCUGUCAUUUGGGAACAAUAGAUCAGUUUAACUGGCUGAUUCUUGAUAGUACCAGAAGAGGAAGAGACGGCUAACUCUGUGCCAGCAGCCGCCGUAA